Molecule: ribosomal RNA, 253 nt
Filed under: uncultured bacterium
Lineage: Bacteria
Description: partial 16S ribosomal RNA
Rfam family: Bacterial small subunit ribosomal RNA
Source: RNAcentral
UACGGAGGAUCCAAGCGUUAUCCGGAUUUAUUGGGUUUAAAGGGUGCGUAGGCGGCCUAGUAAGUCAGAGGUGAAAGACGGUAGCUUAACUAUCGCAGUGCCUUUGAAACUGCUGGGCUUGAAUGUACUUGAGGUGGGCGGAAUGUGACAAGUAGCGGUGAAAUGCAUAGAUAUGUCACAGAACCCCGAUUGCGAAGGCAGCUCACUAUAGUAUGAUUGCCGCUGAUGCACGUAAGCGUGGGGAUCAAACAGG